GCUGGCGUUCGCUGUUGCUUCAAACCUCACUCGUCUCUCCCCCAAAGUGUAUGUUUCUCAUAUGCUCAACUUGUCUCAAUUCUCCAAAUUGAACCCCAAAUCCCCAAAUUCUUAGGAGAGUGGCACAAGCUCUGAAAAUAGGAUUUUGUUCGCACAAAGUGCGUAAUUUGCGGGAUCCCAUGCCUGACUCUUAAGCCAAGACGGAACAAUGUGGUAUUGGAGAGAUGUUGAUAAUUAUUGAGAAUCAUUUCGUAAUAACAAUAGUCUGUCGGCACUGAUUCACUCCUGAACAGACAUAUUGGUUUAUUUCCAAAACAACCACUGUAUUUUAAACGAAAUUAAC
This 343-nucleotide small RNA is filed under the name Histoplasma ohiense. RNAcentral describes it as "hypothetical lncRNA". The record is from RNAcentral. Lineage: Eukaryota; Fungi; Ascomycota; Eurotiomycetes; Onygenales; Ajellomycetaceae.